Non-coding RNA from Suillus ampliporus, 73 nucleotides. The record is from the annotation of a GenBank genome assembly. NCBI's taxonomy places the organism in Eukaryota, Fungi, Basidiomycota, Agaricomycetes, Boletales, Suillaceae.
GGCCUAGUAGCUCAGUAGUUAGAGCUCCUGGUGCAUCUCUAGAAGAUUCUGGGUUCAAAUCAUAGUCUGGCCA